Molecule: ribosomal RNA, 468 nt
Filed under: uncultured Aminobacter sp.
Lineage: Bacteria; Pseudomonadati; Pseudomonadota; Alphaproteobacteria; Hyphomicrobiales; Phyllobacteriaceae
Description: bacterial SSU rRNA
Rfam family: Bacterial small subunit ribosomal RNA
Source: RNAcentral
AGAGUUUGAUCCUGGCUCAGAACGAACGCUGGCGGCAGGCUUAACACAUGCAAGUCGAGCGCCCUGCAAGGGGAGCGGCAGACGGGUGAGUAACGCGUGGGAAUCUACCCAUCUCUACGGAACAACUCCGGGAAACUGGAGCUAAUACCGUAUACGUCCUUUUGGAGAAAGAUUUAUCGGCAAAGGAUGAGCCCGCGUUGGAUUAGCUAGUUGGUGGGGUAAAGGCCCACCAAGGCGACGAUCCAUAGCUGGUCUGAGAGGAUGAUCAGCCACACUGGGACUGAGACACGGCCCAGACUCCUACGGGAGGCAGCAGUGGGGAAUAUUGGACAAUGGGCGCAAGCCUGAUCCAGCCAUGCCGCGUGAGUGAUGAAGGCCCUAGGGUUGUAAAGCUCUUUCACCGGUGAAGAUAAUGACGGUAACCGGAGAAGAAGCCCCGGCUAACUUCGUGCCAGCAGCCGCGGUAAA